Molecule: unclassified non-coding RNA, 290 nt
Filed under: plant metagenome
Description: partial contains small subunit ribosomal RNA and internal transcribed spacer 1
Rfam family: Eukaryotic small subunit ribosomal RNA (bases 1-48)
Source: RNAcentral
AAAUGUCGUAACAAGGUUUCCGUAGGUGAACCUGCGGAAGGAUCAUUAUUGAAUAAACUUAGUUAGGUUGUUGCUGGUUCUUUGGGACAUGUGCACACCUGACAAUGUUUUUUAACCACCUGUGCACUUUUUUCGUAGAUCUGGAAUAUCUUUUGAGGAAACUCAGUUUGAGGAUUGCUGUGUGAAAGCCAGCUUUCCUUGCAUUUCAGGUUUAUGUUUUAUAUAUACUCCAAUAGAAUGUGAUAGAAUGUCAUUUAAUAGGCCUUUUGAGCCUUUAAAAACAAAUACAA